ACUGGGUUUUGUGCUGUGCACCUAUAGUCCCAGCUCCUAAGAGGCAGAGGCAUGAGAUUUGCUUGAGCCUAGGAGUUGGGGACCACCUGGGCAAUAAAGCAAGACCCUACCUCAA
Molecule: small RNA, 115 nt
Filed under: Marmota monax (woodchuck)
Lineage: Eukaryota; Metazoa; Chordata; Mammalia; Rodentia; Sciuridae
Source: RNAcentral